This 460-nucleotide ribosomal RNA is filed under the name uncultured bacterium. Its description in RNAcentral is "partial 16S ribosomal RNA". It matches the Rfam family "Bacterial small subunit ribosomal RNA", at positions 338 to 795 of the family's 1533-position model. The record is from RNAcentral.
CCUACGGGUGGCAGCAGUGAGGAAUAUUGGUCAAUGGUCGGAAUACUGAACCAGCCAAGCCGCGUGCAGGACGAAGGUUCAAAGUAUUGUAAACUUCUUUUGUCAGGGGACAAAAUCCGGUACGAGUCCCCGGCUGAGGGUACCUGAAGAAAAAGCAUCGGCUAACUCCGUGCCAGCAGCCGCGGUAAUACGGAGGAUGCGAGCGUUAUCCGGAUUUAUUGGGUUUAAAGGGUGCGUAGGCGGGAUGUUAAGUUAGCAGUGAAAAUCCGGGGCUCAACCCAUGGCCUGCCGUUGAUACUGAAAGUCGAGAGAGCAGGAGAGGCAGGCGGAAUGCGUAGUGUAGCGGUGAAAUGCAUAGAUAUUACGCAGAACACCGAUGGCGAAGGCAGCGUGCUGGGCGUGAUCUGACGCUGAGGCACGAAAGCGUGGGGAUCGAACAGGAUUAGAUACCCUAGUAGUC